This 837-nucleotide long non-coding RNA is filed under the name Ananas comosus (pineapple). RNAcentral describes it as "long non-coding RNA (ACOM_LNC011797)". The record is from RNAcentral. Lineage: Eukaryota; Viridiplantae; Streptophyta; Magnoliopsida; Poales; Bromeliaceae.
UUUAUCUGAAAAUUUGUACAUAUUUCUAAUUUAAUUUUAGGAGCAAUUGCUUAUAUACCCGUGAAAAAUUUUCAACUUUCUGAUUUACCCUUCUUAGAAGGAUAAUAUUAACAAUAUUCUUUUUACGUUCCAAUUUAUUUCAAAUAUAUCUCUAGAGUUAAAUUCUAUUAAUGAGCGGUUAACAAUAGCUGUUAUCUUAAAAUUACUAUUUUGCCCUUUCAAAUAUACCCUUCUACCAUCACCAACUUUUCUUAUUUGCCCUCAAGUUGGGAGCACAAAAAAUAUUUUAAUUUUUGGUAUUUUCAGCUAUACCCUUCUACUAUCACCGACAUUUCUUAUUUACCCUUAAGUUAGGGGCAAAAGAGACAUUUUAAUUUUUUUUUUUUUAACUCUAAUAGAUAUUUAACUCACGUUUAACCUAAGUUAACUUAAUGAGUGAUAACUGUAGGAGUAUUUUGGAAUAAUGGAGGAACAUUUGAGGGGUAUAUUGGAAAGAAAAAAAAAAGUAGGGAUAAAUGAGAUAUUUUUAAAGUUUUGAGAGAUAUAUAGUGUAGUGUUUCUGAGCUUUGGAUAGGAUUGGCUUUAGUGUUAGUGACUAGUCGACACAUCUGGAGAGUGUCGGACUGAGUCGGAGUCGUUUCUGCGCGAAAUGGAUGCAGAAAUAGACUCGGCGCACUCAAAUAAGCAAAACUAGAGUUUUGCCAGAUUCGGGCGCCCAGAACUGGCCUUGGGUCGCCCAGAAGUUGAGUGCAGAACUGGACAGAACUGGAAGCCAAUUCGAAUCCGGGUUUCGGGCGCCCGAAUGUGGGUCCGAAUGUUCACCUCGUGAGUAUCGUU